RNAcentral lists this ribosomal RNA (758 nucleotides) under Lacticaseibacillus paracasei subsp. tolerans. RNAcentral's name for it is "bacterial SSU rRNA". It matches the Rfam family "Bacterial small subunit ribosomal RNA", at positions 121 to 864 of the family's 1533-position model. The record is from RNAcentral. Lineage: Bacteria; Bacillati; Bacillota; Bacilli; Lactobacillales; Lactobacillaceae.
GUAACCUGCCCUUAAGUGGGGGAUAACAUUUGGAAACAGAUGCUAAUACCGCAUAGAUCCAAGAACCGCAUGGUUCUUGGCUGAAAGAUGGCGUAAGCUAUCGCUUUUGGAUGGACCCGCGGCGUAUUAGCUAGUUGGUGAGGUAAUGGCUCACCAAGGCGAUGAUACGUAGCCGAACUGAGAGGUUGAUCGGCCACAUUGGGACUGAGACACGGCCCAAACUCCUACGGGAGGCAGCAGUAGGGAAUCUUCCACAAUGGACGCAAGUCUGAUGGAGCAACGCCGCGUGAGUGAAGAAGGCUUUCGGGUCGUAAAACUCUGUUGUUGGAGAAGAAUGGUCGGCAGAGUAACUGUUGUCGGCGUGACGGUAUCCAACCAGAAAGCCACGGCUAACUACGUGCCAGCAGCCGCGGUAAUACGUAGGUGGCAAGCGUUAUCCGGAUUUAUUGGGCGUAAAGCGAGCGCAGGCGGUUUUUUAAGUCUGAUGUGAAAGCCCUCGGCUUAACCGAGGAAGCGCAUCGGAAACUGGGAAACUUGAGUGCAGAAGAGGACAGUGGAACUCCAUGUGUAGCGGUGAAAUGCGUAGAUAUAUGGAAGAACACCAGUGGCGAAGGCGGCUGUCUGGUCUGUAACUGACGCUGAGGCUCGAAAGCAUGGGUAGCGAACAGGAUUAGAUACCCUGGUAGUCCAUGCCGUAAACGAUGAAUGCUAGGUGUUGGAGGGUUUCCGCCCUUCAGUGCCGCAGCUAACGCAUUAAG